UGGUGGCAGUGGGGAGGAUUAAGUGUCAGUUGCCUCCUUGUCAUCACCAGGGGUUGUACACCUUGAAGUUUCAGGCCACCAGCUUGCAUACAUACCUACGUGCGCGGGUUUCGUCUCCUCGCUGCACAGAUCCAAUAAAGCUCCAAACAAGGCGGAAAUAUGACAGACGCGCGACGUUAGACAAGCGGAAUCUCAGACGAAAGCUCCCGGCCACCAUUCAAUGUAAAUGUGGGCACCCGUUAUCAUGUUUUAUGGAUCAACGCUCUUGGCCAGACUCCCGACUUGAGUGCGACUUCUACUACUAAACUUGUCCUGCCUGUCGGAAUUUUCUACCUUAAUCCUUGUUGCAGGACUCGCCAUAAAUUGACUCUCCAGAAUGACAGUUGUGUAUAUGAAAAAAAAUAACCCUCGGUAUUGAUGAUGUUAUCGUUCCUUGGAGCUCCGAACAUGGAAUCGAAAUAAUGGCAUCAAAGGCAUCCCGCCCCAGACACCUUGUUAAUGUGUUGACGUCUGUGGCGCAUCACGGGGCUUCAAGGAUCACCCGGUAGUGGGCCUUGACUGGUGAUAAGCAGCGUUUUGGUGGGGAUAUGAACUGAUCACUCCAGAGAAGACAAUGUAACCGACAUGCCUCCUGGACUACUGAACAUGUUGCUGCUACAGACACCGAGGUGGAGGCAGUGCAGUGCUUUGUGAUGGUUACUAAUGGAUAAUGCUCAGCCUGGACUUAAUCUUUAUUUUUCACUCACAAAGGAUCAAUAGUAAAAUAAAUCUUUAAACAUUAAGUACAUACCUCUCACCUGUUUACAGAUCACAUUUUAGUGUUAAUUCUUUAUAUAAAAUAAGUUAUGUACAUAUUAAUAUGUAUUUCAAAAAUUUUAAAAAAAUAUAGUCUACAGUAUGAAAAGUAUAUUUGUAACAUGCAUAACUUGUGUGUGUGUGUGUGUGUGUGUGUGUGUGUGUGUGUGUGUGUGUGUGUGUGUGUGUGUGUGUGUGUGU
Portunus trituberculatus (swimming crab) is the source of this 996-nucleotide long non-coding RNA. RefSeq lists it as uncharacterized. The transcript has 2 exons. The record is from RefSeq and is a predicted model, not a curated record. NCBI's taxonomy places the organism in Eukaryota, Metazoa, Arthropoda, Malacostraca, Decapoda, Portunidae.